Falco peregrinus (peregrine falcon) is the source of this 456-nucleotide long non-coding RNA. RefSeq lists it as uncharacterized. NCBI's taxonomy places the organism in Eukaryota, Metazoa, Chordata, Aves, Falconiformes, Falconidae. The record is from RefSeq and is a predicted model, not a curated record. The transcript has 4 exons.
GGCGGCGGAAGCGCUACGGCAGCCGCGCGGGGCCACGCGGAAGCGGCCGCCGGCGGCGCGAGCGCGCGCGCAGGGGGGCGGGGGGCGGCGCGGCGGAGCGGAGCGGAGCGGAGCGGGCACCAUGUCGGGCCGAGAGGGUGGCAAGAAGAAGCCGCUGAAGCAGCCGAAGAAGCAGUCGAAGGACCUGGACGAGACAGAUCUGGCAUUUAAACAAAAGCAGAAGGAGGAGCAAAAGAAACUUGAGGAGAUGAAAGCAAAGGCUGCUGGAAAAGGGCCCCUCACCAGUGGUGGAAUAAAAAAGUCUGGCAAAAAGUAGCUUGAUCAAACUGCGGGGUAAGAAGCAAUCGAGUUACUCAAUGGAUCUGCAGACAUCAGAGAGUCAUGGAAAUUCACUAUCAUUUGGGAAACAUUGUACAUUUUGUUUAGUCAGAAUAAAUCUUUUUUGUUAAGAUGUGA